GCAACAAUUAUUGACCAUGUCAUCAAUCAUGGCUUGUCCUUUAGAGAGGCUGGACAAAGGGUCCUGCCCAUUCUGACUCGGAGCACUGUGGCAUCUAUUGUCAGGCUUUUUCGGAAUGAGAACAGGAUCCACACAUUACCACACACUGGUGGCAGAGGAAAGAUAUUUAGUAUUGAACAGGAGUCUGCCAUUGUAGAUAUGGUAGUGGCAAACAAUGCAAUCAGACUGCGUGAAAUCCAGGCAGCAGUAAUUGCAGAUCAGGGAGCAUUUAGAAAUAUAAACAGUGAGUUUGGCAACUAUAGAUCGAGUCCUUAAACGCCACCAUGUCAGAAUGAAGCAGCUGUACCGAGUUCCAUUUCAAAGAAACUCUGACAUCGUAAAGGAGGCACGAUUCCAGUAUGUGCAGAGAAUAAUGGAGCUUGAAGCUGAGGGGGCACAUCACAAAUUCAUUUUUGUGGAUGAAGCCGGCUUCAACCUCUGUAAAGUGAGGAGACGCGGGAGGAACAUCAUAGGGCAGAGGGCCACUGUCACAGUGCCAGGUCAGAGGGGUGCCAAUAUCACCAUGUGUGCUGCCAUCUCCAAUGAUGGGGUCCUUUGCCACAUACCAACCAUUGGCCCAUACAAUACAGAACGCUCAUCACAUUUCUUGAUUCAUUGAAAGAAAUACUGAUUCCACCCGAAGAGAGAGGGCUGUUGAGGCCUGGCAUGACUCUGUAUGUCAUAAUUUGGGACAAUGUGGCUUUCCAUCACUCUCGCCUUGUGAACGAAUGGUUUGCAGCACAGCCUCGUAUUAUGAUGCACUUCCUUCCUGCAUACUCCCCUUUUCUGAACCCAAUCGAGGAGUUCUUCUCUGCUUGGAGGUGGAAGGUGUAUGAUCACCGGCGAUAUGAGCAGAUGCCCCUCCUGGAGGCAAUGAAUGCUGGUUGCCUGGCAAUAGGUGCAGAGGACUGCCAGGGAUGGAUGCGCCACGCAAGGAGGUAUUUCCCUCGGUGCAUUGCAAGGGAAAACAUUCAAUGCGAUGUUGAUGAGAACCUGUGGCAUAAUCGUCAAGAACGAAUGGACUAAAUGUGAAAGA
This is a long non-coding RNA of Sander lucioperca (pikeperch), 1075 nucleotides long. RefSeq lists it as uncharacterized. The record is from RefSeq and is a predicted model, not a curated record. The transcript has 3 exons. NCBI's taxonomy places the organism in Eukaryota, Metazoa, Chordata, Actinopteri, Perciformes, Percidae.